Molecule: ribosomal RNA, 250 nt
Filed under: uncultured bacterium
Lineage: Bacteria
Description: partial 16S ribosomal RNA
Rfam family: Bacterial small subunit ribosomal RNA
Source: RNAcentral
UACGGAGGGGGCGAGCGUUGUUCGGAAUCAUUGGGCGUAAAGGGCGCGUAGGCGGCCUUGUAAGUCAGAUGUGAAAGCCCUCGGCUUAACCAAGGAAUUGCAUCUGAAACUGCGAGGCUUGAGUCCGGGAAGGGAGAGUGGAAUUCCCAGUGUAGCGGUGAAAUGCGUAGAUAUUGGGAGGAACACCGGUGGCGAAGGCGGCUCUCUGGACCGGUACUGACGCUGAUGCGCGAAAGCUAGGGGAGCAAAC